Molecule: long non-coding RNA, 977 nt
Organism: Anneissia japonica
Lineage: Eukaryota; Metazoa; Echinodermata; Crinoidea; Comatulida; Comatulidae
Exons: 4
Source: RefSeq, a predicted model, not a curated record
AAAUGAGAAAAGAAUCCUGUACUGGUCAGUAAGCAACAAACUCUUACCCUAGAAUCACCGUUUUAAGGAAGUUCAGUCAGUCAAAAUACGCUCAUCAUUCAAGAUGGUCUUCAAAGUCACAUUGCUCGUCUUUAUCAGCAUGGCCAUUAUAUUAUCGAACAAAGGAGCUGACGCUCAGGACGAUGCAAACCCUGAUUGUGUUGAUAGUAACCCAAACAUCUGCAAAGGAUAUAAAGCAUAUUGUAAUGCGCCUAUAUUUUCUGUAGACGCCCAUAAAAUGUGCCCGAAAACUUGCUGUGCCACCGGCUGCUGCUCAUAAGCUCCUUGAAGUGAUCUGUGAUGAGCUGUGGAAGUAUUUUAACACAGUAUAACUGACGUACCAAUUAUAUUCGUUAAAUUUGUUUAGUCACCAAAAAUUGAGUUUCUGUACGUCUGUAUAGUAGGCCUGAUGCCUUUUGUGUUUAUCAACGUUUUAAAUUAACUCAGAAUUGUUAAUACAUUGUCAAAAUUAUACAUUAUUGUCUGAAAAUACAAAAGAGUACAAAUGAAUCGAUGAAAAGUUUAGCGUUUAAUAAUUUAGGAUUUGUUAGCUUAAUAACAUAAAGGGUCUUUACACAUUUAGUGCAGUUGUUGAUACAAGGUUGUGUGCUUUUAAUAUAAUUCGUUGUCUUCUAAUUGGUGAAAUGCGCAGAAUGAUGGGUCAAGCUUAAAGUUUCAGUUUCCAUUUUGAACCUUAAAAGUUUCAGAACCAAAACUUUUUAUUAUUGAACUCACACUAAGACGUUUGGUAGUGUCUUAAUUGGUUUUCUGGGAAAAUUAUAAUGACCACAAUUAAAUAUUUUUGUAAGAUCAAAACUGUGAAAUUAUCAUGUAGGCCUAACCUCGAUAGUCGAUUUAUGAAAAACAAUUAAAUUUGAGUUAAGUUUCAAACAAUGAGACCAAAAGUGCUCGAGUUUCAUUAAAUAGUGUGUCAUAUA